This 280-nucleotide ribosomal RNA is filed under the name Mantidactylus opiparis. RNAcentral describes it as "partial 16S ribosomal RNA". It matches the Rfam family "Bacterial large subunit ribosomal RNA", at positions 2248 to 2591 of the family's 2925-position model. Lineage: Eukaryota; Metazoa; Chordata; Amphibia; Anura; Mantellidae. The record is from RNAcentral.
AGGGCCCUGUAUAGUUGGUUUUAGGUUGGGGCGACCACGGAGUACAACCAAACCUCCGCAAUGGACGGGACCACUCCCUUAUCUAAGAGCCACACCUCUAAGAAUUAAAACACUAACAUAAAAUGAUCCAUGAUCUGAUCAAUGAACCAAGUUACCCUGGGGAUAACAGCGCAAUCCAUUUCAAGAGCCCUUAUCGACAAGUGGGUUUACGACCUCGAUGUUGGAUCAGGGUAUCCUAGUGGUGCAGCAGCUACUAAUGGUUCGUUUGUUCAACGAUUAA